AGUUCGAUCAUGGCUCAGAUUGAACGCUGGCGGGAUGCUUUACACAUGCAAGUCGAACGGCAGCACGGACUUCGGUCUGGUGGCGAGUGGCGAACGGGUGAGCAGCGUAUCGGAACGUGCCUAGUAGCGGGGGAUAACUACGCGAAAGCAAGAAGCAUACUGCAUAAUACCCUUCGGGGGAAAGCGGGGACCUUCGGGCCUCGCACCGGUUAGAGCGGCCGAUAUCGGAUUAGCUAGUUGGUGGGGUAACGGCUCACCAAGGCGACGAUCCGUAGCUGGUUUGAGAGGACGACCAGCCACACUGGGACUGGAGACACGGCCCAGACUCCUACGGGAGGCAGCAGUGGGGAAUUUUGGACAAUGGGGGAAAACCCUGAUCCAGCCAUCCCGCGUAAAGACGAAGGCCUUCGGGUUGUAAAGCACUUUUGGCAGGAAAGAAACGGUACGGAUAAUACCCCGUGCAACUGACUUGGCACUGCAGAAUAAGCACCGGCUAACUACGCCAGCGUCAUGGCAAAUACGUAGGUGCAAGCGUUAAUCGGAAUUACUGGGCGUAAAAGCGUGCGCAGGCGGUUCGGAAAGAAAGAUGAAAUCCCCAGAGCUAACUUGAACCGCAUUUUUAACUACUGAGCGAGCAGUCAGAGGGAGGAAUCAUGCGUAGCAGUGAAAUGCGUAGAUAUGCGGAGGAACACCGAUGGCGAAGGCAGCCUCUGGGAUAACACUGACGCUCAUGCACGAAAGCGUGGGGAGCAAAACAGGAUUAGAUACCCUGGUAGUCCACGCCCUAAACGAUGUCAACUAGCUGCUGGGGCCUUCGGGCCUUGGUAGCGCAGCUAACGCGUGAAGUUGACCGCCUCUGGGGAGUACGGUCGCAAAGAUUAAACCGAAGAAUGACGGGGACUCCGCACAAGCGGUGGAUGAUGUGGAUUAAUUCGAUGCAACGCGAAAACCUUACCUACCCUUGACAUGUCUGGAAUCCUGAAGAGAUUUGGGAGUGCCUGCAAGAGAACCGGAACACAGGUGCUGCAUGGCUGUCGUCAGCUCGUGUCGUGAGAUGUUGGGUUAAGUCCCGCAACGAGCGCAACCCUUGUCAUUAUUGCUACGAAAGGGCACUCUAUCGAGACUGCCGGUGACAAAACCGAGGAAGGUGGGAUGACGCCAAGUCCUCAUGGCCCUUAUGGGUAGGGCUUCACACGUCAUACAAUGGUCGGGACAGAGGGUCGCCAACCCGCGAGGGGGAGCCAAUCCCAGAAACCCGAUCGUAGUCCGGAUCGCAGUCUGCAACUCGACUGCGUGAAGUCGGGAAUCGCUAGUAAUCGCGGAUCAGCAUGUCGCGGGUGAAUACGUUCCCGGGUCUUGCAUACACCGCCCGUCGACCAUGUGGGAGGCUUACCAUAGUUAGCUAACCGUAAGGAGGGCGAUUACCACGGUAGGAUUCAUGACUGGGGUGAAGUCGUAACAAGGCAG
This 1467-nucleotide ribosomal RNA is filed under the name uncultured Bordetella sp. RNAcentral's name for it is "partial 16S-23S ribosomal RNA intergenic spacer". It matches the Rfam family "Bacterial small subunit ribosomal RNA". Lineage: Bacteria; Pseudomonadati; Pseudomonadota; Betaproteobacteria; Burkholderiales; Alcaligenaceae. The record is from RNAcentral.